Molecule: transfer RNA, 73 nt
Filed under: Camelus bactrianus (Bactrian camel)
Lineage: Eukaryota; Metazoa; Chordata; Mammalia; Artiodactyla; Camelidae
Also listed under: 3 other names
Rfam family: tRNA
About the family: Transfer RNA (tRNA) molecules are approximately 80 nucleotides in length.
Source: Rfam by way of RNAcentral
GAGGGGAUAGCUCAGUGGUAAGAGUGUCUGCCUAGCAUACUUGAGGUCCUGGGUUCAAUCCCCAGUACCUUCA